This 254-nucleotide ribosomal RNA is filed under the name uncultured bacterium. RNAcentral's name for it is "partial 16S ribosomal RNA". It matches the Rfam family "Bacterial small subunit ribosomal RNA", at positions 524 to 776 of the family's 1533-position model. The record is from RNAcentral.
UACGUAGGGGCCUAGCGUUGUCCGGAUUUAUUGGGCGUAAAGAGCUCGUAGGCGGUUCGGUAAGUCAGGUGUGAAAUCUCCACGCUCAACGUGGAGGCGCCACCUGAAACUGCCGUGACUCGAGUCCGGUAGGGGAGUGUGGAAUUCCCGGUGUAGCGGUGAAAUGCGUAGAGAUCGGCAGGAACACCCAGGGGGAAACCAGUGGACUGGCACGGUGCUGACGCUCAGGUGCGAAAGCGUGGGGAGCGAACCGG